RNAcentral lists this ribosomal RNA (253 nucleotides) under uncultured bacterium. RNAcentral's name for it is "partial 16S ribosomal RNA". It matches the Rfam family "Bacterial small subunit ribosomal RNA", at positions 524 to 776 of the family's 1533-position model. The record is from RNAcentral.
UACAGAGGGGGCAAGCGUUAUUCGGAAUUAUUGGGCGUAAAGGGCGCGUAGGCGGCUUGGCAAGUGGAAGGUGAAAUCCCUCGGCUUAACCGAGGAACUGCCCUCCAAACUGCUUCGCUUGAGACCGGGAGAGGUGAGUGGAAUUCCCAGUGUAGCGGUGAAAUGCUUAGAUAUGACAUAGAACACCAAUUGCGAAGGCAGCUCACUACGGGAUCAUUGACACUGAGGCACGAAAGCGUGGGGAUCAAACAGG